RNAcentral lists this long non-coding RNA (473 nucleotides) under Fukomys damarensis (Damara mole-rat). RNAcentral describes it as "lncRNA (ENSFDAG00000025874.1)". The record is from RNAcentral. Lineage: Eukaryota; Metazoa; Chordata; Mammalia; Rodentia; Bathyergidae.
CCUCCUUCCCACGCAUCUAUAUUAUUUUUUGCUUUAUUUAAUUUUAAAUCAAAGGUAUUUUUUUUUCCAAAACUUUAUUCUAAGCCAUCUAUACCAGCUUUGGCUUUGGAAACUGACAGACAGUACAUCAGGAAAGCUAUCUUAAUUUGCAGUUGGGGUGGUCAUUGUAAGAAAAACUACACCCUUCAUACAAUCAAGACUUCAGCCCACAAAUGCAGUGCCAGGGCGAGACGUUGCUUAUGAUAUCAGAAGUUGUCAUCAAGAGAUCUCAUGGAGAAGGCACUGUCCUAGAGCCUGGAUGCUGAGGAAGAGGGCCCACACUGAGUGCCGCUGGGGUGCUGGCCUGCUACCCACUGCAGGGAUGAGCUCCCAAAACGUGCCUCCCCAGGGAGUCCCUCCAGGGAUACUGGCCUAAAAUAUCAUCAUUUAACUUCUGUUUGAAGAUUUCCAGGGAAAUCCAGAUUUCAUACCAC